GCCCGCGCCCUGCUCGGUGUCCCCAGAGCUUGUCCUUCCCUGGCCUGAUUCCUGCACCCGGAACCACGGAAAGGGAGGGGGAUCCUCGACGCGAGGGGAAGGCCGAGGGCCCGGCUGAGCAGGUCAGGGCCGCCGAGAAAUCCUCUCCUCCUAGAAGCUUUUCAGAGUGUCCCGGAGCAGACCCUGGUAGACCAGGACGCUCCACAAAAUGGUCCAGGAGCAGCCUGUGAGCUUGCCGAGGGCUGAGGUCAGCUCGUUUCAUCUCUGUGCUGGGCCCUGGGGACACAAGGCUCCUGAUCAGCGAAUGGUUUUUGUACGGGGAGUGCCCAGCACCGCCCGGUCCACGGAAGACCUUCAAUAAAGCUGUUGAGAAGCUUCAAGAACUAAUGGACAGACUAGAGAAGCGGGUUUGGAAAACAGGAAGCAAAACUUUUCUCCAUGACAACCAUCUCCAUAUUUCGAGAUGUCACAUUCUACCAUAAAGAUACAAAGCAAGACUGGGGCUAUUGAGGAAUUCAUGACUCAAGUGUGCAAAUCCUUUCUUGAAUCCAAAGGAAAAUAUCUUGCCGCUUUCAUAUGCUGCUUUGUAAAUGCCAAAAAGAUAACGAGAAAAGCCACUUUUUUGAGGAUACGGGAGUCGUUAGAAUUAUUAAAAGUUAAGUCAAGUGAAGAUGGGGUUAUCGCCCAUGAAUUUCUUGGAUGGGGUGAACUGGUGCUGGGGUCUUCAAGUUUGGAGGAGAGAGGGGAGUGGGCAGCUAGAAGAGAGAGAG
RNAcentral lists this long non-coding RNA (770 nucleotides) under Equus caballus (horse). RNAcentral describes it as "lncRNA (ENSECAG00000046036.1)". The record is from RNAcentral. Lineage: Eukaryota; Metazoa; Chordata; Mammalia; Perissodactyla; Equidae.